Molecule: long non-coding RNA, 349 nt
Organism: Drosophila eugracilis
Lineage: Eukaryota; Metazoa; Arthropoda; Insecta; Diptera; Drosophilidae
Exons: 2
Source: RefSeq, a predicted model, not a curated record
CACAAGUGUAGGGCUAUAAAAUAUAUGAAUUUUAAUAAAUUAGCUAAAAAAAAAGGCCGCAAAGGGGUAUAUAAUGCCUUCCAAAUGCGAUUAGCUUCAGUUCAGUUUCAACUUUACCACCGAUAAGAUGUUGAUCCUCCGACUUGUUUUCGGCAUUCUCGCCUUGGCCGUUGCCGCUCAAGCCCGCGGUUGUGACAACAAUGGCGAAUUUUGCCGAACCCGUACCGAAUGCUGCUCACUGUUUUGUGAUACCAAGGUCAACAAAUGCCGUGACAAUUAACUUCUAACAUAAUUUUACAGAAAUGUCAAACAUUAAAUGUUUAUUAAUAAAAUAAAAACGAACAUUUAA